Molecule: long non-coding RNA, 7831 nt
Organism: Gallus gallus (chicken)
Lineage: Eukaryota; Metazoa; Chordata; Aves; Galliformes; Phasianidae
Source: Ensembl
CACAGAGCAGGCUCUGAUUGUUUGCAGCAUUGUGUGAGCAUGUGCAUUGUGUGUGUGUGUAUAUAUAUCCAAGUACAAAAUGAGAUUCUGCUUAUCCUCAAGUGUCUGCUAUGUACAUAGGCUAAGGUAGAAGAAAGGAAGCAUUUCCUGUCUUACAGAAAGGCAUUGAAUUAAGAGUGGUCACUGUGAUCGUGUAAAUGUAAUUGCACACACGUCGGUCUGCUGUAGGAUUGGUGAGUGCACUUCUGUGGUCAGUAACUGGCUUAAAAUUUUGAGCAUGAAAAGAUCCAUGUUGCUGUUAAAAGAAAUAGUUUCUAUAUUUAAAAUGACAUUAAGGAGAUGAAUAUUCCACGAGGGAGGGAGGAGGGGAGAGGAACAUCACUGACAGCUUCCUGGCAAAGCAUUUAAGACACUGGAAAACAGACACCGAGCUGAUAUGUGGAUAAACCUAGCAAGGACGUGGUGUAAUGGAGGGAAGAAUUUGGGUGGAGCUGCCUGCUUCCCUUCCAACUGCUUGAACAAAGAAAGAAAGAAAGGAAGAAUAAUGGUAUUAGUAGUGAGUUAAAUGGAAAGCUGAAAACGUGAAUCUUAGUGUCUUACAACUGAGGUUAGCAUGAUGUUGCAAAAGCACUUGCCCACCACCAAGGGCGAGGUGUUAGGGAGCACUGUUCUAUACCUGAUGGUGGAUGCCUGAGUAUUUUCUUUUUGACCCUGCUUAAGCUGUGCAAGCAGAAGAUGCACAUGAAGUGGUAAAUUUUCGUAGUAACUCUGAAGUCACCCAUAACCCACAGAAGCGCCAGGCAGUGACUGGGUCGUAGGGAAAUUUCAGGGCUUUUGUAACCAGAGAUACUGCAGAUGUAAGUACACGUGGUGCUACAACACUGCAAGCCUGUCAUUCUGAUACGCUUACUGGAAGUAGUGAGGAGCUCCACUGCCUAUUUAAAAUCUGCAUUUCGGAGACUGACUCCCUCCGUUUCAGUGUCAUAAAGGUGUCAGCCAACAUCCCUGAAGCCGUGCUAAGAUUUCUAUGGAAGAGAAGACUCCAAAGUACGUACAGCUUUUGGCCCUCCCUCAGGAAGGGGCCGACUGUGGAGUGCACCGCAUGUUGUUGGGCUUUCUUCGUUUUUUAAUGACUCACGAGUUGGACCUUAUUUCUGUUCAUCUUUCAGUGCCAAACAGAAAUUGCUAUUUAGGUCAAACUGCUGUUUGGGUACUAACGGAAGCAGACAUCGGUUUUGUCUAUGGAUUUCACAGCUAUACGUUUUUUCAAAGUGAAGUUCCCUCUUUAGGCUACUGCUGACAUUCAGCUGUGCUGGUGUCACGUUGGCACCAGCACUACCUUUGCUUCAUUACCGCACAUGCAGAGUCAAGGGAUCCAGCAGCAGAGCUUCUGUUCAGCCAUGGUUCCCCUCUGUUCACGCGGGCUCUGGGUACGGUGUUCUCCUCUUCCCAGGUCCUGCUUUCAGGCUGCUGCACUGUCCUGGCUUUUGCAUCCUGGCUCUUCUCUCCAUCGGCGUGACCCUGCAUCCUGUUGGUGCAACUGUGUAUAGGACUCCUGUGGAUUUCCUUCAGUUCUUAUCAGCUGAGGAUCUUCCUCCCCGCCUCUGACUCAGGUACCGAGAUGCCUAAAGAUGGAUCUUUAAGCCUGCUUUUGCACAGAUGGUCAGAUCCUGAGCUACAGCUAAAGUGCAGGAUGGCACACAGAUGCGAAAUACUGGGCAGGAACAACCCGUAACUUUCCAGGAGUGAUUGGAGAGCUGCCUGAAGAACCCAGUGAAAGAUGCACUCAGACAACAUACGGAAGAAAAAGCUAGUGGCUUAUACCGAGGGUUAUAUAUAUUCACUACCAGAAGAGUAGUGACAGCACUCUGUCACCCGCCCCAGCUGAAUCAGUGCGUUAUUGUAUGUUGGCUGAAGGGAGGUUGUACUGAAGCUACCACAAAAGGGAUCCCAAAAUAAGCCAAACCUGCCCUUCCCCCCAGAGCCGCUUCUCACUGCUGUGGGAAGCAGCGGGCACGGAGGGCCUGCGCACCGUGGGCAGUGGCUGCAGGCCGUGUGGUGUAGGGCCUGCAAUUUCAGUGACGUUGGCAAGUUAAAGACACGCAAAAAAUGUUUAAAUCAUCCCAAGUGGUAAGAUAACAGACGAAUUAGCUCCAUUCCAACAGCUAGUUGGAAUUCCUUAGUGUUAACGCUGUUGGCAUAGGUACUAAAUUAUUCAGGUUGUUCUGCAGAAUAAUCUGCUCUGUAUUUACAUGCAUUCUAAAUAUUUUAUUUAAAAUACUUUGAUACGGCUUUCCACGUUAGCUGCAUUUUAGUUUGUCUUCAUCUCUGCUCUCUGUGAGAAGUUGCUUUACCGUAAUUAAAACUAACCCUUACGAAAUGCAUUUAUCCAAAAUGGUUUCCUAGAAAUUUUCUCCUCCACAGACUACAUUACCCUCCCGGUAGUGCAGCUGGGGGCCGAUCUGCCCAGCCGGCAUAAAGAGGGAUGAUUUAGAUCACUGAGCUCCAGCUCUUGGGUAGUGCUUUUUGCCACCAUGAAAUGCCUCAGGAAUUAAGGCACACCAGAAAACUCACUCGAAUCGCAUUUUAAAAAGCGUUUUCCACCAGUCACUAUGUUAGCAGACAUUAUUGUCACCAGAAAGCCUCUGCUAAUCUUACAAAGCAUCUGCGAUGAAUAAUCUUCCCCUCCCCCAUUCUUAUUUGCUGCCAGAAACAGCUUAUAAAUGCUUACUUGAAAUCUCUGCCAAAUUUUGUUUUUAGGCACGCCGUUGUAAAUAGAGAGUAUUUCCCCCGAUCUGGGUAGGAUCCCUCUGGAUUUACACGGGCGCGAAUGAAGCCCCGGCUUUGCCUGGUCCGUUCUCAGCCGCCCCUCGCUGCCCUGCAGGCUGCAGCGCUGCCGCCUCUGCCGCUGGUGGAGGGCGAGUGCUCGAGCACAGCCCGUCCAUCGCUGACAAAUUAUUAUAAACAGAUUUGAACAAAUAUUUCUUUGCAAAACAAACCGGUCAGCAGGCUCCAGGCUCUAUUCUCCUGAUGCGUUUUACAGGAAAUAAUAUCAAGUUAGCUAUUAUGAAACUACCCCCUCCUCACACACGCGUAAUUGCUUCCAGCUUUCUGAUGAUUACCCUUUCCUUAACUGAUAGGGUGAGAAGAGAAAUAAAAAUAUCUCCAUACAGUGGGCCAAAUCCUCAUCUGGUAUAAAUCGACAUAGCUCCAUCAAAGUCAAUAAAACCACGCUGAUUUACACCAGUUGAGGAGUUGAUGCACCGUAAUUUUUUACUUGCUUUUAAAAAUAAAACCUUAUGUGAUUGUGUAACUAACAUUGCAACAGAAACCGGCAUUUCCUUUUGUGAACUCAACAUGUGCCCUCAACUUUCAAACAUUUUCACUUAGACAGUCCUACAGAUAUUUGUCCUCGCCUUCUGGCACAGUGCUCCCACCACCCUUCUACUGGGCCAGCAUCAUCACAGAGGUGCAAACUGUGCUGAAUGAGGGUCAGACACAAAUUAGUAUUUUUACCGAGUAAUGAGGAGAAGGAAUGCCAUUCUGCCACUAUUCUUUCACGCAGAAGAGGGAAAAGAGUCUCCUGAGUGCCGGAUUUGUCUACAAGUCAGCCAUGUAUGUACUGUAAACAUCUGCGUAUUUACAAUGCAGAAUUCCCCUAAUUCUCAAUACCUCAGAUAAUGAUCGACUUCUUAAGAAGAUACACGUGGAAUUACAGUCUCAUCCUCUCUACAGUUUAACUUUGGAUAAUCAAUGACCACAGCCAGGCUGGAAGAAGAAAAACAAGUUGGCAGCUGUGACUAUGUGUUAAAAGGGAUGUUUAUGACUGGAUGAUUAAGAACAGCCGUUGGAAGGGAUCGAGACUGGCAGCAAAGACCGUCAGAAUAGAGACCCAACUGAAUCAUUUGCACAACCUUUUUCUUAUCUUUCCGUGAGACAAAGUUCAUACAGAGAGAUAAGGAGACACUGCAAAUCAGAAGCUAAGCCUGGAAGAGCCUCCUGCAUUCAGAGAACCUUUGCUGCUACUUCAUUUUCCUAAGGAAACCCAGCAUAAUCAUUUGAGCGUUUGGAUUAGCACAUCUACUGGGAGGACAAAGGGAUAAUGCCAACUCUAUCCCUUUCUCUGUAGCCCUUGUAAACAAGCGCAAUACCCACUCAGGCCCAAGAUUUGUAGCUGGUUCUAAAAGGGCAAAGGUUCCCCAUGACUCCAGGCAACAGGAACACACGCAAAAAAAACUCUGUCCCUUUGCUCCAGGCAACUGCUAGACAGAGGGUUGGGGUUUUGUUCUGUGCUGUUUGGGCUUUUUUCCCUCUGGAGGUGUAGUGCCUUUGCUCUUAAAGCAUUCUCAUCUGCCUGGGAAAAUCACACAGGGUUAUUUCUUGCUCAGCUCGUCAUAUUCAGCCCAUUGCCUUGGAUAGCUGCUGCUUCCAGAGCUACCACUGUCCAAAGACACGUGUCCCAGGGCACCCCACGCUUAGCCCAAGCUAAUAAAUCAAGUGUAUGACUGUCAACUGAUUAAAACCUGCUGAUGUUGCUAUUAAUAGUUUUCAGCAUUAUGAAAUGUUGGCUUUCUUAUUACUGCAUCAAACUUCAUCAUUUUCUCACCAGAAGCUUGAGAGCAAGAUUGCAUAAAGCAAGCAACAGGAACUCAAACAAAUGGUACCUGGGCUGGUUCAAUGGAGACCAAAGAAAAGUAAACGUACUGAAUCCUAUUGGUUGGCAUGAAAAGUAAUAGUUUCUUAUUGCUGAGAUGAUCCUUCCUCAUCCAAAGAUGACUCAAAAAAAUUGUUUUUUGUUUGAAGGGUUGCAAGUUUUGUGUUGUCUUUCUGCAGUUUGGGUAACUACUCCAUGACCCUGAGCUCUGGGGUGCUCCCGAGGCAGACCCACAGCAGAACGGGUACACACAGCCUGUGCCAUUUGUUCUGGGCAUCAGAGCUGAGAAAGGGACAAAUGCGGGCUGCCUCAGCGGGUCUGUGCCCUGCUGAGUUGUUCCUGGUGAUGUGAACACGUUUAUGGCUGGGGCAGUUAAGCUGCUGGCUCUGGAGCUGUUUCGAGCUGCUGGAGGCAUGCCAAGGGUCUGGCUCAACUGAUAGAUCUUGUUUUCAAGUUGCACAAGCACGAGUAACCUGCAAGGCUCCAUUAUUUGUUUCAGUGCAAUUGUUAAGUUCAGAUAGGAUUACCUAUAUAGCAGCUACCCAGGAACCCAUGUUGGCAUUUGUCACCUCACCUUAAAUGUCCUCCCUAGAAGCUGCAUCCUCACCUGUAGGCCUUUGGGUCUGACCUUACAGCUGGUAUUCUGACCUCCACAGUCUGCAGAGCCCUGCCUGCAGAGGUCGGGGUGAUAUUCACCUUCUUCUUUUGAGAAGCUGUAGAUCAUAUUCACCCCUGAUGUAAAACCUCCAACCUUAGCCCUUAUUAUUAUUUUUAGGACAAAAUCAGUCAGGUUUCAUCAUGAACCAAAGAGUAAUUUUAAUAGGCUUGAGCUUACAAGUGUGAUGUUCCCUACUUGUGCUUAUUUUUCUUAUUGUUUGCUGUACCUCUGUGCUCUUUAGAAGUUCAGAAUGAGUUUCUCUUCUCAAAGGGUUUUUGCACAGGCUCUGGGAGAUGCUUGUGUAAGGGUAAAACAUGCAUGUGUUCAACUACGUGGCUGGUGGCUGUUUGCAGAGCUCACAGCAGGACCAAGAGUGGGAUCUGGGACGAUUACAUUAAAGAGGAGGUGGAAAAUUUCCCUCCCGCAUUCCCUACCGCUGCAAAAACAGACCAAUUUGCAGGAGCUCGUAUGCUACUCCAAAGGACCAAAAACUGGAGGAAUAACAGUUGUUACAUAUGGAAUUAUUUGGUGAUGGUGGACGUGAACAGGUAUUUUGGAGUAUGUCUGUGAAGAUCAGUUCUUGGUGGCUUUAGGACAAGAAGAAAUAGCAGAGGAGAAGGGAAAACAAAUGUGUGCUGAAGCAGGGAGCAGGUGGAAAGUAAAACAUAAGCAGAACUGCGGGGAGUUUUGAAGGACCAGCCGGGGGUUGCUCUGAGCCCCGGCCACCACCGUCCCUCAUAGACUGUCCUACUGCUGUAAAGCACACAGACAAAGUGCUUCCUGAGAUUUUAUCCUCCCACUUCAACUGUUUUUGAAGUUCUGUGAAUGGGAACUACAACUUCACUCGCUGGCAAAGGAACUCCACCUCGAAUAGCUGCUACAGUACAUCUUCUAAAAACAAUAACGGGGGUUUUUAUUACUCCUUUGUGGCAAAAUCCACAUCAGUAACCCCAGUACGGUGUCUGCAAACAAAACUCCAUUUUCUGUGACGUGUUAAAAACACAUCAAAUUAUGGCAACGCUCCAAUACAGUGCAAAAAAUGCAAUAAAUAUUCCCUUGAAGGGAAGGUGACAUUUUUUUCAGACUCAUUUUCCACUGCAAUCUCAGUGCCCCCUCAGCAGCCAUUAUCUGGGGCCAUAGAAAAUGCUUCUUGUUCCCUCUGACCUCACUGGGAGCAGAGUCAGAGAGUGACUGAGAGGGCUUUCAAUAAUGGAGCUGGAUUCGGAGGUGAAGACUGUAUGAACUGCUCCUCUGUAUCCUGAGAACAUCGAAACGCAGUGCAGCCCUAUUACUUAGUGAGGAUCUGCUCGUCGGGAAGUCACUGCGGGAAUAAUGAGGGGGGGAAGAACAAGAGGAGGAGGAAAAGGUGAGAAGAAAAGAGAGAGGGCGAGAGGGAGCAAAGAGGAAAAGGGGAUUUGCUUUUGAUGUCACACUUCUAUCAACUCAUGCAUUUUUCAUGGAUACCAACUAAUUCUGCAAUAACGCCGUGCUGACAAUCCAGGCACGAGAAAAAAUCAGCCCAGCUCCCACAUACCACCAUACUGGCUUAAAAGUGAAGAUACUUUGCAAAAUGAUCCAUUUUAUUGUUUAAUUCCCUUCUAAUUUGGGAGUUUCAGGUUCACGUAUUCAAGCUCUUCUCUCCAACUUGAGAUUCAGAAAUGUAAUUAUUUUCAUGUAAGCCGAGGUUCCAAUUUAAUCCCAUCUGCCGAAGAGUUUGAGCUGAAAACAAAGCGCAGUGUUGCAAAAUCUCACUGUAAUCAUAGGGGCUGCCAACAGUAAAUGUCACAACCGUGGCAUAUCGUAGGGUUUUGAUGCAAAACUAACUAAAAUUUAUGAGAUGUUAGGAGCGCUAAAAGUGCAUCCACUGAAGUUGCAUCUGUGCCAUUUGCUAGUAAUUAAUUACAAACUGAAAGUGAAGCCAACUGGCAAAUAAAAAUAAGCUGGUGGGAUUCGGAGCUAACCUGCGCUGUAGUUCAAGCUUCAUGUUUUGUAAACUUGAGGAGAGCGCUGGCAUUUCUCGGUGCUUUUGAUUAAAACCCGAUCACUUUUUAAACAAAGCAAUUCACGACUUCGAGUGUAAACAUUCUUUGAGGUUGCAGUCAUCCGGGCUACAGCAACGCCGAUCCUCGCAGGGAAGACAAACAGCCCCUGCACAGGUGCGGGAAGCAGCACAGCACCUUUACGUGCCCGAGCAGGGUUGAUGCUGAAGGCUCCUGCUUAGAUGUCAGCCCUCAGACACCGCCCACCUGCGUGGUUCUGGGGGGGUUCCGGCAGUAGUUCUCUACGUUGAUGUGUAAGCGCUGGAGCCCGCGGUGGGCUCUCCGCAUACGUCUCUAAGCCGGCUGUCACGUAAGAGAUCAGAAGUAGACUAACGUCCCUGGUUUAAUUACGUAUGGAAAUGCCUUAAAGAUAGUAAAAACGGUGGAAAAAAAAAAAAAAAAACCACGAAACAAACAACCCGAGCGCACCGGUAACGCGAUGUACGGACGUCUUCAACGAACUGGCGGAAAAAUAAAGGG